This 207-nucleotide ribosomal RNA is filed under the name uncultured bacterium. RNAcentral's name for it is "partial 16S ribosomal RNA". It matches the Rfam family "Bacterial small subunit ribosomal RNA", at positions 568 to 774 of the family's 1533-position model. The record is from RNAcentral.
CUCGUAGGCGGCUUGUCGCGUCUGCUGUGAAAUCCUGGGGCUUAACUCUGGGCGUGCAGUGGGUACGGGCAGGCUAGAGUGCGGUAGGGGUGAUUGGAAUUCCUGGUGUAGCGAUGGAAUGCGCAGAUAUCAGGAGGAACACCGAUGGCGAAGGCAGGUCACUGGGCCGUUACUGACGCUGAGGAGCGAAAGCAUGGGGAGCGAACA